This 828-nucleotide ribosomal RNA is filed under the name uncultured bacterium. RNAcentral's name for it is "bacterial SSU rRNA". It matches the Rfam family "Bacterial small subunit ribosomal RNA", at positions 8 to 883 of the family's 1533-position model. The record is from RNAcentral.
AGAGUUUGAUCCUGGCUCAGGAUGAACGCUGGCGGUAUGCUUAACACAUGCAAGUCGUACGGGAAAAUACAUUUUCCUAGUGGCGGACGGGUGCGUAACACGUAANAACCUACCUUUUGGAGGGGGAUAACAUCGGGAAACUGAUGCUAAUACCCCGUAAGCUGAGGAGUGAAAGCGGUUUUCCGCGCCAAGAGAGGGGCUUGCGGCUGAUUANCUAGUUGGUGGGGGUAACGGCCUCCCAAGGCCACGAUCAGUAGCUGGUUUGAGAGGACGAUCAGCCACACUGGGACUGAGACACGGCCCANACUCCUACGGGAGGCAGCGGUGAGGAAUUUUCCACAAUGGGCGAAAGCCUGAUGGAGCAAUACCGCGUGGAGGAANAAGGUUCGUGGAUCGUAAACUCCUUUUCUCANAGAANAANAUCUGACGGUAUCUGAGGAAUAAGCUCCGGCUAACUUUGUGCCAGCAGCCGCGGUAAUACAAGGGGAGCAAGCGUUAUCCGGAAUGAUUGGGCGUAAAGCGUCUGUAGGUGGUUCUUUAAGUCUACUGUCAAAUACGUUGGCUCAACCAACGGCAGGCAGUGGAGUACUAAAGAACUAGAGUGCGGUAGAGGUAGAGGGAAUCCCUAGCGUAACAGUGAAAUGUGUANAUUUUAGGGGGAACACCAGCGGCGAAGGCGCUCUACUGGGCCGAUACUGACACUGANAGACGAAAGCUAGAGGAGCGAAUAGGAUUAGAUACCCUAGUAGUUCUAGCUGUAACGAUGGAAACUAAAAGGGGGUANCCCCCUUCUGUAGCUAACGCGUUAANUUNCCNCCUGGGGAGUAU